Long non-coding RNA from Pezoporus flaviventris, 518 nucleotides. RefSeq lists it as uncharacterized. The record is from RefSeq and is a predicted model, not a curated record. The transcript is spliced from 3 exons. Lineage: Eukaryota; Metazoa; Chordata; Aves; Psittaciformes; Psittacidae.
AGACUCUUCCUUGUUCUGUAAGAAUGGCAUGCUGAAGAGGAAUAGAUUUUCUUGAUAAUCACAGCUCCACAAAGAAGGCUUUCACAAGUAACUUUAAAAAGUGGGAAUCUUUCCACUCAGGGAAACAGAAACACCUUUUCAUAGCUCCCUGAGCUUGCUUUGGUUUGCAUCAGCACCACCCCUGAGCCAGCUUAGUUUUGGAGGAACAGCGUGACAGAGAACAUCUGGUCAUUGAGUGUAUGCGGAGGAUGUUCAGAUGCUGUGGAGGAAAUGCCAGAGGUAGCCAGAGAGGGUGGGGAUGGGAGCUCCUUCCUGCAGCCCAGUUUUGAGGUGCAUAGAAGGCAACAGCAAGGUUCACAUCCAAGUGAAGCUUUUCCAAUCUUUUUAAUAGGUGCUGAUCACAAAACAGGUUACUCCACAACAACCCUUUCCAGAAACAGCUGUUUGUCCUUCUCGGUGGAUAUUAAGAACGCUGCCCACAAAUCCUAAUCUCCUGUUAAUGUGUGUUGCAUUAACAU